Molecule: ribosomal RNA, 931 nt
Filed under: Ralstonia pickettii
Lineage: Bacteria; Pseudomonadati; Pseudomonadota; Betaproteobacteria; Burkholderiales; Burkholderiaceae
Description: bacterial SSU rRNA
Rfam family: Bacterial small subunit ribosomal RNA
Source: RNAcentral
CGUCAGAUGAACCGCUGAGCGGCAUGCUUAGAUUGUGCAAGUCGAGCGGCAGCAUGAUCUAGNUUUGCUGGAUUGAUGGCGAGUGGCGAACGGGUGAGUAAUACAUCGGAACGUGCCCUGUAGUGGGGGAUAACUAGUCGAAAGAUUAGCUAAUACCGCAUACGACCUGAGGGUGAAAGUGGGGGACCGCAAGGCCUCAUGCUAUAGGAGCGGCCGAUGUCUGAUUAGCUAGUUGGUGAGGUAAAGGCUCACCAAGGCGACGAUCAGUAGCUGGUCUGAGAGGACGAUCAGCCACACUGGGACUGAGACACGGCCCAGACUCCUACGGGAGGCAGCAGUGGGGAAUUUUGGACAAUGGGCGAAAGCCUGAUCCAGCAAUGCCGCGUGUGUGAAGAAGGCCUUCGGGUUGUAAAGCACUUUUGUCCGGAAAGAAAUGGCUCUGGUUAAUACCUGGGGUCGAUGACGGUACCGGAAGAAUAAGGACCGGCUAACUACGUGCCAGCAGCCGCGGUAAUACGUAGGGUCCAAGCGUUAAUCGGAAUUACUGGGCGUAAAGCGUGCGCAGGCGGUUGUGCAAGACCGAUGUGAAAUCCCCGAGCUUAACUUGGGAAUUGCAUUGGUGACUGCACGGCUAGAGUGUGUCAGAGGGGGGUAGAAUUCCACGUGUAGCAGUGAAAUGCGUAGAGAUGUGGAGGAAUACCGAUGGCGAAGGCAGCCCCCUGGGAUAACACUGACGCUCAUGCACGAAAGCGUGGGGAGCAAACAGGAUUAGAUACCCUGGUAGUCCACGCCCUAAACGAUGUCAACUAGUUGUUGGGGAUUCAUUGUCUUUAGUCACGUAGNAAAAACANAAAUAGANCGCGNNUAGAUUUNUCGACCGCCUGGGGAGUACGGGUCGCAAGAUUAAACNCAAANNNNAAUNGACGGGANA